This 301-nucleotide ribosomal RNA is filed under the name uncultured bacterium. RNAcentral's name for it is "partial 16S ribosomal RNA". It matches the Rfam family "Bacterial small subunit ribosomal RNA", at positions 509 to 809 of the family's 1533-position model. The record is from RNAcentral.
CAGUCGCCACGGUAAUACGUAGGUGGCAAGCGUUGUCCGGAAUUAUUGGGCGUAAAGCGCGCGCAGGCGGAUCAGUUAGUCUGUCUUAAAAAUUCGGGGCCUAACCCCGUGAUGGGAUGGAAACUGCUGAUCUAGAGUAUCGGAGAGGAAAGUGGAAUUCCUAGUGUAGCGGUGAAAUGCGUAGAUAUUAGGAAGAACACCAGUGGCGAAGGCGACUUUCUGGACGAAAACUGACGCUGAGGCGCGAAAGCCAGGGGAGCGAACGGGAUUAGAUACCCGUGUAGUCCCUGUCUCUUAUACA